AUUCGACCUCAAAUCGGGUGGGAUCACCCGCUGAACUUAAGCAUAUCAAUAAGCGGAGGAAAAGAAACUAACAAGGAUUCCCCUAGUAACGGCGAGUGAAGAGGGAAAAGCUCAAAUUUUGAAUCUGGCGCCUUUGGCUCCCGAGUUGUAAUCUAGAGAAGUGUCUUCCGCAUCGGACCGUGUACAAGUUC
Molecule: ribosomal RNA, 191 nt
Filed under: Serendipita sp.
Lineage: Eukaryota; Fungi; Basidiomycota; Agaricomycetes; Sebacinales; Serendipitaceae
Description: partial 28S ribosomal RNA
Rfam family: Eukaryotic large subunit ribosomal RNA
Source: RNAcentral